GUGAGGAAUAUUGCGCAAUGGAGGCAACUCUGACGCAGCCAUGCUGCGUGCAGGAAGAAGGCGCUACGCGUUGUAAACUGCUUUUAACCGGGAAGAAACCCCAGGACGUGUCCUGGGUUGACGGUACCGGAGGAAUAAGCACCGGCUAACUUCGUGCCAGCAGCCGCGGUAAUACGAAGGGUGCAAGCGUUAUCCGGAUUCAUUGGGUUUAAAGGGUGCGUAGGCGGAGCGUUAAGUCAGUGUUGAAAUCCUGCAGCUUAACUGUAGACUUGCCAUUGAUACUGGCGCUCUUGAGUGCGCUUGAAGUGGGCGGAAUGUGCCGUGUAGCGGUGAAAUGCUUAGAUAUGGCACAGAACACCAAUUGCGAAGGCAGCUCACUAAGGCGAUACUGACGCUGAGGCACGAAAGCGUGGGGAUCGAACAGGAUUAGAAACCCUGGUAGUCC
Molecule: ribosomal RNA, 445 nt
Filed under: uncultured bacterium
Lineage: Bacteria
Description: partial 16S ribosomal RNA
Rfam family: Bacterial small subunit ribosomal RNA
Source: RNAcentral